Podarcis raffonei (Aeolian wall lizard) is the source of this 830-nucleotide long non-coding RNA. RefSeq lists it as uncharacterized. The transcript has 3 exons. NCBI's taxonomy places the organism in Eukaryota, Metazoa, Chordata, Lepidosauria, Squamata, Lacertidae. The record is from RefSeq and is a predicted model, not a curated record.
UCAACCCCUGGUGUCUCCAGGCAGAGGUCACUCUUUGAAACCUUGGAGAGCCACUGCCAGUUAGUACAGGCCUUGAGGGAUCAAUGCACAUUGCUUCUGAAUUCACACAUUCGGAGCCCUAGCUUAGAUGUCUGUACCUGACAGAUGUAGCACAACCAAAUGAGAAAUGUGCAAUGCAAUUACCUAGCUACUGAGUGACCACAAUCAGCAAGCUGGAAGUAUGAAUCUGUCUUUGGUUAUCGGUUCCUUUGAGGAGGAGGAUCCGCUGAACCUCUUUGCUGAAAAAAUAAUGAGCUUUGAGAAGUAAACUUACAGCACAAUGCCUUCUGUAGCCUCCGGAUUUUGAUGGCUGUGCGAUAAGCAGAAAAGCGCACGUUGUUCAAAUCAGCUGAAAAAUGGCAAAGGGCAGAAAUGUAAGAGUAUUAUAAGGAACCAUUUUGUUCAAUGUCAUGUCGUCAUGAAUUUGUUGUCAGUUAAAGCACGUGCACACACGUGAACACACACACACCCGAGACAAAAGAAGGGGGGGAAGGGAAGCAGUACUUUAUAUCAAGCUAAAUUGAUUUUAAGGUCUGUUUCCAGUCAAAAUAGUGAAAGAGAUUACAACACCUAUAAAACAUUUUUAAAAGUUCUGCCAAUACUUCCAGGAUAGAAAUGCGCAAGUAAAAUCUGCCUGUGCCUGGAACCUAUAGCUUUCAUGUAGCAAAAUACAGAGAUGCCCUAACACAAGUGUGCCUGCCAGCUAAGACAUUUCAUGGGCAUCGUAUGAGGCCUUAGUAAAUAAACAAUAUGCCAUGCCCCCACAACAUUCAUUUUGUAACCGGCACUAA